AAUGAACGCUAGCGGCAGGCCUAACACAUGCAAGUCGAGGGGUAGAAGUUGCUUGCAACUUUGAGACCGGCGCACGGGUGCGUAACGCGUAUGCAAUCUACCUUGUACAGGGGGAUAGCCCAGAGAAAUUUGGAUUAAUACCCCAUAGUGUAAUGAAAUCGCAUGGUUUUAUUACUAAAGUUCCAACGGUACAAGAUGAGCAUGCGUCCUAUUAGCUAGUUGGUGUGGUAACGGCACACCAAGGCAACGAUAGGUAGGGGUCCUGAGAGGGAGAUCCCCCACACGGGUACUGAGACACGGACCAGACUCCUACGGGAGGCAGCAGUGAGGAAUAUUGGUCAAUGGGCGCAAGCCUGAACCAGCCAUGCCGCGUGCAGGAAGACGGUCCUAUGGAUUGUAAACUGCUUUUGUACGGGAAGAAACACUCCUACGUGUAGGAGCUUGACGGUACCGUAAGAAUAAGGAUCGGCUAACUCCGUGCCAGCAGCCGCCGUAA
This 496-nucleotide ribosomal RNA is filed under the name uncultured bacterium. RNAcentral describes it as "partial 16S ribosomal RNA". It matches the Rfam family "Bacterial small subunit ribosomal RNA", at positions 29 to 523 of the family's 1533-position model. The record is from RNAcentral.